Long non-coding RNA from Gallus gallus (chicken), 539 nucleotides. NCBI's taxonomy places the organism in Eukaryota, Metazoa, Chordata, Aves, Galliformes, Phasianidae. The record is from Ensembl.
GAAACAUCUCAGACCCUGAAAGUCCUCAAUACGGAGCUGCAGCUUGGCGCUGCAAGGCUGCAAAGGUCACUUUCCCAGUGGGGAGAGAAUCAGCCAUUUCAGCCUGGGGAAUAAAAUCUACUUUGAACAGAAUGGUCCAGCAUAUUGGGACAUGCCACAUGAAGCUCCACUCUGCUGUCACGAAACUGCCUCUGAAAACACUUUUGCUGCUUUGCUGCACUGUGGUUCUCAAAGGAGCUGGAUGCACCUUGCAAAAGUUUGGUGAGCUCAAGUACUUCACCUGAGCUGCAGGAAAAGCAUCGAGAGAAGAAAGAAUGCAAGGAGCAGUGUGAGAGGUGCAGCGUGUCCUGUUUUAGCAGCAGUGUGACCCACAGCUUCGUCCCCCUGCUGCAGGGACCUGGCUUUGCUCAGGAGCAGCAUUAAUUUGUAGGCAAAAAGAGAGGACUCAGGGAUCUGAAUUUGGCCAGCGGCUGCUGGCAGCAUCCCUCCAAGAAUGCGUGCUUAGGUGGUAUCAUUAAUAAAAGAUUGAUUAUUGGGCA